This 431-nucleotide ribosomal RNA is filed under the name uncultured bacterium. Its description in RNAcentral is "bacterial SSU rRNA". It matches the Rfam family "Bacterial small subunit ribosomal RNA", at positions 917 to 1349 of the family's 1533-position model. The record is from RNAcentral.
GGGCCCGCACAAGCGGUGGAGCAUGUGGUUUAAUUCGAUGAUACGCGAGGAACCUUACCAGGGCUUAAAUGUUAGGUGACAGAUCUAGAAAUAGUAUUUUUCUUCGGACACUUAACAAGGUGCUGCAUGGUUGUCGUCAGCUCGUGCCGUGAGGUGUCAGGUUAAGUCCUAUAACGAGCGCAACCCCUGUUGUUAGUUGCCAGCGAGUAAUGUCGGGAACUCUAGCAAGACUGCCAGUGCAAACUGUGAGGAAGGUGGGGAUGACGUCAAAUCAUCACGGCCCUUACGUCCUGGGCUACACACGUGCUACAAUGGUAGGUACAGAGAGCAGCCAAUGCGCGAGCAUGAGCAAAUCUAUAAAAGUGCGUCGUAGUCCGGAUCGGAGUCUGCAACUCGACUCCGUGAAGUCGGAAUCGCUAGUAAUCGUGGAU